RNAcentral lists this ribosomal RNA (253 nucleotides) under uncultured bacterium. Its description in RNAcentral is "partial 16S ribosomal RNA". It matches the Rfam family "Bacterial small subunit ribosomal RNA", at positions 524 to 776 of the family's 1533-position model. The record is from RNAcentral.
UACGUAGGGGGCAAGCGUUGUCCGGAAUCAUUGGGCGUAAAGAGCGUGUAGGCGGCCCGAUAAGUCCGCUGUGAAAGUCGGGGGCUCAACCCUCGGAUGCCGGUGGAUACUGUCGGGCUUGAGUACGGAAGAGGCGAGUGGAAUUCCUGGUGUAGCGGUGAAAUGCGCAGAUAUCAGGAGGAACACCAAUUGCGAAGGCAGCUCGCUGGGACGUUACUGACGCUGAGACGCGAAAGCGUGGGGAGCAAACAGG